AUCCAAUGGCUGACGAGUCCCAAAUAAGACGAAAUGCGCAUCCUGGAU
This 48-nucleotide non-coding RNA is filed under the name Trichobilharzia regenti. The record is from RNAcentral. Lineage: Eukaryota; Metazoa; Platyhelminthes; Trematoda; Strigeidida; Schistosomatidae.